Long non-coding RNA from Monomorium pharaonis (pharaoh ant), 483 nucleotides. RefSeq lists it as uncharacterized. The record is from RefSeq and is a predicted model, not a curated record. NCBI's taxonomy places the organism in Eukaryota, Metazoa, Arthropoda, Insecta, Hymenoptera, Formicidae. The transcript is spliced from 2 exons.
CAGAUACGUUGACGGGAGCAAUGCCUCAACACCAUGCAGUUGCUGUAAAAAUUUCAUCGUGAUUAAUCGUUGUGGAUAGGCUCCGAUACAAGGGUCAAUCUAUCAGUCGACGAGUGUCGAGCACCGUCAAUUAAAUGCGCGAAAUUACUUUGCACCAAAUAUCUUUGCACGGAUCUAAGGUUUGUAAGCGGCAGUUAUAAUAGCUGGUUGCACGGUCGAAGGAUCUGAUCUGAUCCUGAUCUUUCUCCAUACACUAUGGACUUCUCUUCUUUCGUUGCAACUGACACAAACUGAAGACCGAAUUGUUGCAUAGACGGAAUGUCGAAAAUUCAAAAGAUUAUUAAAGUUUGGCAAUACAAAGAAGAGAUCUUGAUAUGUAAUAAACUAUUUUUUUCUGCUUGAAUUUUAGACUGAAAAAGUAAAAUCAUUCUAUAAAAAAUUGUACCUAUUUUUUUGUUUUUCUUUUAUUAUUUACCAAAAAAA